RNAcentral lists this ribosomal RNA (566 nucleotides) under Fervidobacterium pennivorans. RNAcentral's name for it is "partial 23S ribosomal RNA". Lineage: Bacteria; Thermotogati; Thermotogota; Thermotogae; Thermotogales; Fervidobacteriaceae. The record is from RNAcentral.
GAUAGUGUUAACUUGUAGUGAUGGAAGUAGCUAACUGAGAAAUGACAUUAUCGAUGUUGCUCUUGUUGGUUUUCCAAAGAUUCUUCACUACACAAAAACCAUGAAUAUAUAAAUCAAGAUUUUUCAACUUCUUCAGACCUCGCUUAAGUCGGAAAAAGUCUUUCAGUAGUGAGAAUUUGGAUUCACAUUGGUUAUUUUUACCAAGCGAUACUACUACAUGAUUGAUAUUUUUGAACAAUAUUUUCACAGCACUUUCAUAUGCACCAAGACCGUCGGUAAUGAGUUCGAUACUUUUGUCUUUUGAAUCACCUAAGAACUUUUCAAGCAACACUUUUACCUGACCCAUGUCACGAUACUUUGAGACAUGCCAGCAAAGGAUAUAGUUAGUAUCGUGGUCAACUAAUAACCAGACAUAAUAUUUUUGGUCUUUAAAUACUACAACAGUUUCGUCGGCAUGAACUCUGAAAACAUCCUCAAUGUCAAACGUUGGUGAAAGCACGGAGAAUAAAGUACACAAUUUAAUAACCCAUUUGUAGAUAGAAACAUGAGAGACCUUGAUGUUAAGA